GUGUGUGUGUUUCAGUGGGUAAAGUGCCUGCCAUGCAAGCAUGAGGACCUGAGUUCUAAACUCUGCACACAGA
Molecule: transfer RNA, 73 nt
Filed under: Mus musculus (house mouse)
Lineage: Eukaryota; Metazoa; Chordata; Mammalia; Rodentia; Muridae
Description: tRNA-Ala
Source: RNAcentral